This is a long non-coding RNA of Numida meleagris (helmeted guineafowl), 2403 nucleotides long. RefSeq lists it as uncharacterized. The transcript has 4 exons. The record is from RefSeq and is a predicted model, not a curated record. NCBI's taxonomy places the organism in Eukaryota, Metazoa, Chordata, Aves, Galliformes, Numididae.
AACCUGCUGCUUCUUCACCAGGAAAAGCUGUUUCAACUCACCUGAGCUCUGCUCUGGUGCUCUUGAAACUUUGGUUCAGCUUUUUGUAGAGGAUGAAAGUGAGUCAGGACCCCCUGCCUUCUCCAGUCAUCUCCAUCAGCAACCACCACUGAGAGUUACACUUUGAUUCUGUUGAAAUUUCAGUUUCAGGUGCAGUGUGGUGCCAAUGACUGUAGUGGGAUGCUUCCGGGAAAUGGUGAAGUAGGAACCUGAGGGUAGGGAGGUGGAUUUGUCAUCAUUUUGAUAACAGAAACGCGUCCAUUGGAGCCCCAAGGACGUGAAGCUGUGCUCCUCUCAACCAGGAGCUGCAAUCAUCCCAUUAAGUAGCUUCUGGGAAAAUGGGUAAAUUCUGCCCUCUUAGAGGAUGUCCAGGGGCAGGUGGGUUCUGAAGCUAUGCAGAUCCACCAGGAAGGCAGGUGCUGUUUACUGGGUGCCCUGGAGCUGUAAGAAGGAUGGCAGCCCUGACACCUCCUCGUUUGAGCAUCAAGGUGGCAUCUGCAGCUUUGUCCCAGCACAAGCAGGUAAAGCAGGGGGUCUCCACCCCUAUCCUUCUGAAAUGAGUCCUGGAUAUCUUUUUUCCUUUGUGCAUCAAUGCUUUUGUCUGGACCUCAUGUCACUCUGUUAGGCUUUGAUCUCAAGAUAACCAGGAACAAUACAAUUUUCCUCACCCACAGGGUGAGGACUGCCACACGGGUGUGGCAAAUGAACAAAUGAGGUAUUGGACACCUCAGCAAGUGCCCUGGUCCCUGGCAUGGGGCCAGCAAGGCCUCCUCACCCUGCCCACCCUGCCUGGGGAUCUCUGGUGACUGGGAGAAGCCUCACGCUGCUCCAGGAUGUUCCAGCUACACUCAGCCCCUGAGGACCUCCUGGAGGCAAUCCCAGCCCAACACCAUCUCCUCUCACCCUUGUUGUGCUCUUGGCAUGUGAUGACAGGACCUAGGUUUUCAAGAAAUGUGUAGAUGUGGCGCUGAGGGACAUGGUUUAGUGGCCAUGGUGGUGAUGGGUUGAUGGUUGGACUAGAUGAUCUUAGUGGCCUUUUCCAGCCUUAUUGAUUCUAUGACUCUAUGAUUCAAUGAUUCUAUGAUUGCAUGGGUGCGUGCAGAGGUCUCUGAAAAGAAGCCAGCCACAGGAGAUGGUUGGGGCCUCAGUGCUAUCAGCUUGGUGGGCUUGCAGGGGUAACAGCAGCAGGGUGUGCUGGCUGCGUGCCUGCUGGCAUUGCACUCACACAGCUGAAGGGGUUAGAGUUUUCAGCUGAUUUUCUGGGGCAACUGGGUGUAAUUAUAGCUCAGAGAGGGUUGUUCCAGCUGAAAACAGCCCCAGAAUACAUUAUUAAGAGCUCUGCAGCCAGGCUGAGCUCCUGCUUGCCUGCCUGCCCUGUACCACUGUAGGCACUGAGCUUUAGCUCCCUGCCAGGUGCAGUACCUACAAGCUGACCUCCAUGUGAAUCAUAGAAUAUCCUGAGUUGGAUGGAACCCAUAAGGAUCGAGUUCAAUUUCUGAAGAGUGAAGUUGUCAGGAGAGACAAUGAAGUGAUAAAGUGCUGCUCCAGUGAUAUGACGGUGGAAGUCAGAGCUUUGGCUGGGAAGAGAGAAAGAGCCCAUGCUGGCCAGCGGGAGGAGUUCUGGGCUCUGCUGAUGUCAGUGCCUGCUCCUUGCAUGGAAAAGAUGCAACAUGUGUAAGAUAAGACGGUGCUCUCUGCUGCUCCGCAGAGGUCUCGGUUCCAUCAGUCACAGUGAAGUAAUGUGAUGCACCAGCCUCUGUCUCCAAGAAGUGACGAAGUUUGUCAGCCUGUGCUUGGGCUUCUGACAAUGAUACAUGUUCCUCAGGUCUGCUGACUUCAGCAAGGGCACCAGCAUCACUUGGAUUCUCUCUUCCAGAAGCUGCGGCUAGAAAUUUGACCACAAGGUCACAAGGACUUAGCUUGCCCCUUGGCUACUAAAGUUUCACUGGCAGGAACCCAAUCUCCAGCGCAAUCUCUUCCACUCCUACCAGGCCAUGCACUUGUCUACGGCUUAACUGUUGUUCCAGCACCACAAGCUUUGCCCAAUCCUCCACCUCCAAGAUACCAUCUUUACAGACAAGCCCAGAUGUCUGAAGCAGCCAAAGCCGGUGAUGAAGCAGUGAUUGUCCAGCACCACAAAUGUGGAGAUCCUCCAUUCCACACCAGGCAGCAAUAACCUCUCCAUUUGGGUUUUGGGUUCAACCUUGUGUGCACUCCUGAAUACAGACAUGUGUCUUUAUGUUCACAGAUGUAUGUGUGCACUGCAUGCAUAGGCUGACAAUUAGUGUUCUAAUCUACUUGCAUGAGAUAAAUCUGAUUAUGAUCUGCUGUACAACAGCAACUUCUAAUUUUCAGACUAAGCGA